RNAcentral lists this ribosomal RNA (487 nucleotides) under uncultured bacterium. Its description in RNAcentral is "bacterial SSU rRNA". It matches the Rfam family "Bacterial small subunit ribosomal RNA", at positions 21 to 507 of the family's 1533-position model. The record is from RNAcentral.
GGCUCAGGAUGAACGCUAGCGGCAGGCUUAACACAUGCAAGUCGAGGGGCAGCACGUCUUCGGAUGGUGGCGACCGGCGCACGGGUGCGUAACGCGUAUAGAACCUACCUUUUACAGGGGAAUAGCCCAGAGAAAUUUGGAUUAAUACUCCAUAGUAUUACAGAUUCGCAUGUUUUUGUAAUUAAAGUUUUAAUGGUUGAGGAUGGGCAUGCGUGACAUUAGUUUGUUGGUGAGGCAAUGGCUCACCAAGACUACGAUGUCUAGGGGUUCUGAGAGGAUGAUCCCCCACACUGGUACUGAGACACGGACCAGACUCCUACGGGAGGCAGCAGUGAGGAAUAUUGGACAAUGAAGGCAACUCUGAUCCAGCCAUCCCGCGUGCAGGAAGACAGCCCUAUGGGUCGUAAACUGCUUUUAUACAGGAAUAAACCCCUCUACGUGUAGAGGGCUGAAGGUACUGUAAGAAUAAGGACCGGCUAACUCCGUG